This 301-nucleotide ribosomal RNA is filed under the name uncultured bacterium. RNAcentral's name for it is "partial 16S ribosomal RNA". It matches the Rfam family "Bacterial small subunit ribosomal RNA", at positions 509 to 807 of the family's 1533-position model. The record is from RNAcentral.
CAGCCGCCGCGGUAAUACGUAGGUGGCAAGCGUUGUCCGGAAUUAUUGGGCGUAAAGGGCUCGCAGGCGGUUUCUUAAGUCUGAUGUGAAAGCCCCCGGCUCAACCGGGGAGGGUCAUUGGAAACUGGGAAACUUGAGUGCAGAAGAGGAGAGUGGAAUUCCAUGUGUAGCGCUGAAAUGCGUAGAUAUAUGGAGGAACACCAGUGGCGAAGGCGACUCUCUGGUCUGUAACUGACGCUGAGGCUCGAAAGCGUGGGUAGCAAACAGGAUUAGAUACCCCCGUAGUCCCUGUCUCUUAUAC